UAGUCAUUAAGGAAAUGCAAAUGAAAAUCACAAUGAGAAACCAUUUCAUUCCCAGGAGGAUGGCUAUAAUCAAAAUGAUGGAUAAUAGUGUUGACAAGGAUGUGGAGAAAUUGGAACCUUUAACCAUUGCUGGGAAGAAUGAAAAUGGUGCAGCCACUGGAAGAAAAAUUGGCAGUUCUUCAAAAAGUUAAACAUGGAAUUACCAAAGGACUACUCUUAGUGACAACAGGUCUUUUCAGCUUCAUCAUCCAAACUCUGAAGGCCUUCUCCAUCACCACCUGCCUGGUGCCUCAUCUGCUGGUCUCUCUUUUGGGGCCACAGUUACCACCAAAGAAGGCAUAGGAAGUACCCAAAACAGAAUUCACCUAGUUCAAGGUGGAUCCUCUGUGUUCCUUGCUUUUAGGAAAAGAUUACUAAAGGCCAUCCACCCAGCAUGGAUUCCACACCACAGGCACGAUGAUGAGCGUCUGUAUUUGCUAAGGAACUACCUGGAGCCCUCCACAGAGCAGUCCAUGGGAAGCUUGGGGCUUCACACCCAACAGAGAGCACAACUUGGGGCCUGAACUCACGACCUGAGAUCAAGAUCUGAGCUAGGAUCAAGAGUCAGAUGCUUAACCAACUGAGCCACCCAGGUACCCCUCAUCUAGGUAAGUUUUUAGUCUACUAAUUUACUUAUUUCUUUCUCAGAUUUAUUCAUGUGCCCUUCUAUUAGCAUUAGUUGAGUUCCUUCUGUGUUGUGAGCUGUGUGACCAUGGUUCUUACCCCUAGGGAGAAUCAGUCCCUGAUUGGGACUGAUUAAUGACUGAUUAAUCAGGGACUGAUUCAGGGACAAUUAAUAUCUUUAAGCAGUUGAUGAAUACAGAAAAUUUUGUGCAAAAUGUGUAUAUAUUCACAUGUGACUUUGAGGACAUAUUCACAUAACUGUUACCAGAUUCUCAGGAGUCUGUGACCCCCUCCCAUAAAGAUGAGAAUCACUGGUCUAAAGAGACACAGAAAUCGUUAUAAUACCGUGACACCCUGAUUAGAUCUAGGAGCUAUGGUCCCAAACAUGCUUUCCCAACCUUACGAGAGGUACUUCCUCUUUGACUGGGUCAGUCCUUCCAAUGUUAUAUGAUUUUUUAAUAUCAUCUGGUGACUGACAGGAACUUUAAAGGGUCUGGGAUUUUACUUACAAACUAACAAGUUAGGCUGAUGCAGUUUGAUGAUGCUAGCAGAAAACACAAGACUCCUGAGUCAGAGGCAAAAGACUAUGUUCUUCACAGCAAUAGCAUCGCUAGAAUAUUAGCAUUUCCAAUUAGCUUUCCGGGCCCUAAUUCCCACAAAGCAAAGUGGUGAGGGCCAGUUGACACCUGGAGGUGCCAUGGGCCGCAUAUAGUAGAGGAACCCUGAGAUUAAGGAACUCAAAUCUUUUAUAAUGGGUGGUAAGCCUCCCAGAAGGUGAUGUUAUCUUAUUAACUGAACAGUAAGCAUUGCUGCUAAUUCCUUCACAGGGGGACAGUCUUCCACACUGCUCACUAUACCCACAUCCUUGAGAAGGUAGUUUGAAACCAAAGCAUGUGCCUCUGCUCAUGCAAUGUACUCAUCUUCAGCAUGUGACUUACUCCCCUCUAGGGGUUUCCUCAAUCCCUUCCCUUCCUCCUCACUGAUUUCCUGCUCUGCAUCCUGCCACAGAGUGCACUCCAGAACUGUAUCCUGAAUGUCUUCUGAGGACACUAGUUCAGUCUAGAAAACUACCAGGAUUUUGUAUAUGGUUUUUUGGAGGGAGAGGGGCUCCUAGUUAUGAACAAGGGAGACACACCAAGGGCAGAGAUGUGGCCUUUGGGUUGAAAUAUUGUGCGUUUCCUUCUACCUGGGCAAUUACUGCUGCUGACCUGAACACAGACCCAUUGUGGAAAGUGGGGAAGGUUUUAGUCCUGGGAGUGUGAACAACUGAUAGCUGCCGGGCUGGUACUUCUAUGUUAAAUAGCAAAGCAUCACACCCAUUACAUGAAAUUGGUCUUCAAGGAAGCACAAUAUUGUGCAUUAGACUCAGAGGUUUACCAUUUUGCCCAUUGCAGUGAGGGUAACUAGAUGUUUUUCUCAGAAAUAGAGACAAAUACCACCUUAAUGGCUUCUUUGAAAGUGAAGGUUAUAAAAUAACAUAUUCUAACUGAAAACGGAUUAUACCAUCUUCCUAAUAUCUAGCUUGGUGAUGAGGAGAAGCAGAGAAGAGUCUAUUUCUCACACUGCCAUUUCAGCAGAACAUUUUAUGGAAUCACAGCCAAAGUAAAACAUUUUUGUGAAAUAAAUACCUGUGUUCUCUGAAUCCAGUUUCAUCUUUGAUUAGUACUAAUGGCCUAUGAGGAAGAGAGGACAAACCGUUUUCAUCUUUCAUGUUGUGUGGAAUCGGUAGCCACUAAGCAUAUAUAACAUCCAUAGAGCAUUAGCGUCAGACCCUCUUCUGCCCACUCCCUACACGCACACCCCAAAAAACCUAUGGUAAGUAGCUAGUAAAGACUAUAUGGAAUUAUUAAUUUAAAAAAUACAUUUUUCCUUCAAAAAUAUACCUCAUAAGCUGCAGAAGUUAUAUAGCCAGAGAUGUUUGGAUUCCAAAAUUGUUGAAAAAAAAAAUUAAAAGGAUGUGGAAAAGUGAGAACAAGUUCAGAUGAUGCCCAAGGGUCCAUGCAAGGAAAUAUCUAAAGAAAAGACCAAGGAAUGGAGACUAGAGAACUAUGUAAACAAAAUUGACAUGAAUAAUCCAUGUAAAACAUUCGCUACAGUACACGACAGCUAUAAAUAUUAGUAUUACUAUUUACCUGAGCUGGGGAAGCAAGACAGAUUGCAGUAAUAUGUGUUUAUUUAUUUGUUCAUUCAUUUUUCAAGUCAUUUAUUCAUUCAUUAUUUGUUUGAAAUUAUGUGUCCUAGAAUUUAGGUACCUUCCAUUGUCGCCUGCAUUUCAGUUUCACUUUCUUCAUGAAUUUAAAGAUUACUUGAAUCAACUUACUUAGCUAGAACUCUGUAGUCAGAUAAGCAAAGAGGAAAGACCUGUUCCAGAUUCCAAGGCAGAAAUAGAUUCAACAGAAGGAAGAACCCCUCAGGGUAACAAGCCCCUGGGGUCAGUGGCAGCCUGGAGGGCUACUGUUCUAACUCAGGAGGCUCCAGGGCCUUUCAGUCUUCUCUUGGGAACCCUGCUCCCCAUGUCUGUCUCUGAAGGGGUUGUUUUGAGCAUUACAUGCCUUAAUGAAUGGGAAGCACUGUGCUGUGGUAGACAACCAGGAAAUUAUAGUUGUUAUUAACAAUUACAGGUAAUGCAAAGUUACGUUUUAUUAGCAUGAACUUCACUAUCAGAAUGCACUGCUUCAAAUUCUGUUCUUUAGCUAUAUAAUUUGAUAAAUUAUUUGACCUUCCUAAGCCUCUGUUUCCUUAUCUGUAAAAGAUUAUGAUCAUGAGGAUUAAAUUAUAUCAUGUCUGUAAAGUGCAAUACAUGAGACUAGCACAUACUGAGUGCUAAAUAUAACGUCUACUACAAUUAAUACAGCUACUAUUACCACUGCUACUACUAUCAUCAUCAUUAUUAUUAUCAUUAUUAACACCUCUUUUGGGGGGCACCUGGGGGGCUCAGUCAG
This is a long non-coding RNA of Felis catus (domestic cat), 3605 nucleotides long. RefSeq lists it as uncharacterized. NCBI's taxonomy places the organism in Eukaryota, Metazoa, Chordata, Mammalia, Carnivora, Felidae. The record is from RefSeq and is a predicted model, not a curated record. The transcript has 4 exons.